GAUGAACGCUGGCGGCGUGCCUAAUACAUGCAAGUCGAGCGAACGGACGAGAAGCUUGCUCCUCUGACGUUAGCGGCGGACGGGUGAGUAACACGUGGAUAACCUACCUAUAAGACUGGGAUAACUUCGGGAAACCGGAGCUAAUACCAGAUAAUAUGUUGAACCGCAUGGUUCAAUAGUGAAAGACGGUUUUGCUGUCACUUAUAGAUGGAUCCGCGCUGCAUUAGCUAGUUGGUAAGGUAACGGCUUACCAAGGCAACGAUGCGUAGCCGACCUGAGAGGGUGAUCGGCCACACUGGAACUGAGACACGGUCCAGACUCCUACGGGAGGCAGCAGUAGGGAAUCUUGCGCAAAGGGCGAAAGCCUGACGGAGCAACGCCGCGUGAGUGAUGAAGGUCUUCGGAUCGUAAAACUCUGUUAUUAGGGAAGAACAGAUGUGUAAGUAACUAUGCACGUCUUGACGGUACCUAAUCAGAAAGCCACGGCUAACUACGUG
Molecule: ribosomal RNA, 497 nt
Filed under: uncultured bacterium
Lineage: Bacteria
Description: partial 16S ribosomal RNA
Rfam family: Bacterial small subunit ribosomal RNA
Source: RNAcentral